RNAcentral lists this long non-coding RNA (332 nucleotides) under Callithrix jacchus (white-tufted-ear marmoset). RNAcentral's name for it is "lncRNA (ENSCJAG00000074464.1)". Lineage: Eukaryota; Metazoa; Chordata; Mammalia; Primates; Cebidae. The record is from RNAcentral.
UUUACUAUGGGGGCUGAGUGAGGACCUUGCCUCGCUGCUUCCCGUCUGGAAGCAUGACGGCUGCUACCACGCCAGGCCGAGGGGAGGGCAGCACACACAGCACCCAUCAGAUUUCACAGUGGCUCCCCCAGUCCCAGCUUGCAAAGGAGGCCAGGUCACUGCUGGAAGAUGCCAAGAGCGGAGCUGAGAGUGCAGCACAAGGACCUCUGAGAAGUCUUGUCUUCCUCCAAGCAGUGAGAAAAGUGGCGGGAAGGUCAGAAUACAUUUUUAAGUACUCUGGAAAUUCACCGAAGGCUUGCAGCAAGCUAUGUAGAGUUAUUUUAUUUUUCUGA